RNAcentral lists this ribosomal RNA (253 nucleotides) under uncultured bacterium. RNAcentral describes it as "partial 16S ribosomal RNA". It matches the Rfam family "Bacterial small subunit ribosomal RNA", at positions 524 to 776 of the family's 1533-position model. The record is from RNAcentral.
UACGUAGGGGGCAAGCGUUGUCCGGAUUUAUUGGGCGUAAAGAGCGUGUAGGCGGCUUUACAGGUCCGUUGUGAAAACUCGAGGCUCAACCUCGAGACGCCGGUGGAAACCGUAAGGCUAGAGUCCGGAAGAGGAGAGUGGAAUUCCUGGUGUAGCGGUGAAAUGCGCAGAUAUCAGGAAGAACACCCGUGGCGAAGGCGGCUCUCUGGAACGGUACUGACGCUGAGACGCGAAAGCGUGGGGAGCGAACAGG